UCUGCCAGCUCAAGGGACCCACCUGCCAGUACAGGUAUGAGCAUCACCUCCCUGCUACCACUUCCUUCAACUGGGGACAGUGCUGAAGGCUGCCUCACCUCUGCAGCCCCUGCCACCUGGUUCUGAGCCCCAGGCCCCUUGGACCUUAAAGUUGCUGACUGCCAUACCCCACACCUCCCUUCCCUAUAUGUGCCCACAGCUUUUUACCUCACAGCUGUG
This 219-nucleotide long non-coding RNA is filed under the name Homo sapiens (human). RNAcentral's name for it is "long non-coding RNA NONHSAT149866". Lineage: Eukaryota; Metazoa; Chordata; Mammalia; Primates; Hominidae. The record is from RNAcentral.